This 335-nucleotide RNase P RNA is filed under the name uncultured Hydrogeniiclostridium sp. RNAcentral describes it as "Bacterial RNase P class A". It matches the Rfam family "Bacterial RNase P class A". Rfam says of the family: Ribonuclease P (RNase P) is a ubiquitous endoribonuclease, found in archaea, bacteria and eukarya as well as chloroplasts and mitochondria. Its best characterised activity is the generation of mature 5'-ends of tRNAs by cleaving the 5'-leader elements of precursor-tRNAs. Lineage: Bacteria; Bacillati; Bacillota; Clostridia; Eubacteriales; Acutalibacteraceae. The record is from RNAcentral.
UUGAACGGCUGCGGGCGAAGCCCGAAAGGGCCCGUCUGAGGAAAGUCCGAGCUCCACAGGGCAGGAUAACGGCUAACGGCCGCCGGGGGCGACCCCAGGGAAAGUGCAACAGAGAUAUACCGCCGCUUAAAAAGCGGUAAGGGUGGAAAGGCGAGGUAAGAGCUCACCAGCAUACGGGAGACCGUAUGGCUCUGUAAACCCUAUCCGGAGCAACACCGCGGAGGGAUGAGAACGCCGGCCCGGCGUAUAUCCCGUGGAGGUGGCAUUGAGCCUGCGCGGCAACGCGAGGCCAAGAUAGAUGGUCGUUCACGACAGAACUCGGCUUAUAGAACUGG